Molecule: ribosomal RNA, 773 nt
Filed under: uncultured bacterium
Lineage: Bacteria
Description: bacterial SSU rRNA
Rfam family: Bacterial small subunit ribosomal RNA
Source: RNAcentral
GUCGAACGAAGAUCGUUACAAAAUGGAAGGAAGAUUUAUCGGAAUGAACUUUUGUAACAAUGGUCUUAGUGGCGGACUGGUGAGUAACGCGUAAGUAACCUGCCUGUUAGAGGGGAAUAACAAUGAGAAAUCAUUGCUAAUACCGCAUAUGCCAUAAUUAUCACAUGAUAAUAGUGGGAAAGGAGUAAUUCGCUAACAGAUGGACUUGGUCUGAUUAGAUAGUUGGUGGGGUAAAGGCCUACCAAGUCGACGAUCAGUAGCCGGACUGAGAGGUUGAACGGCCACACUGGGACUGAGACACGGCCCAGACUCCUACGGGAGGCAGCAGUAGGGAAUUUUCGUCAAUGGGCGCAAGCCUGAACGAGCAAUGCCGCGUGAACGAGGAAGGUCUUCGGAUCGUAAAGUUCUGUUGAAGGGGAAAAAGAGCGGAGAGAGGAAAUGGUCUCCGAUUGAUAUUACCCUUCGAGGAAGUCACGGCUAACUACGUGCCAGCAGCCGCGGUAAUACGUAGGUGGCGAGCGUUAUCCGGAAUGAUUGGGCGUAAAGGGUGCGUAGGCGGCCUGCUAAGUCUGGAGUGAAAGGUACCGGCUCAACCGGUACAGGCUCUGGAAACUGGCGGGCUAGAGAGCAGGAGAGGGCGGUGGAACUCCAUGUGUAGCGGUAAAAUGCGUAGAUAUAUGGAAGAACACCAGUGGCGAAGGCGGCCGCCUGGCCUGUUACUGACGCUGUGGCACGAAAGCGUGGGGAGCAAAUAGGAUUAGAUACCCUAGUAG